This 462-nucleotide ribosomal RNA is filed under the name uncultured bacterium. RNAcentral describes it as "partial 16S ribosomal RNA". It matches the Rfam family "Bacterial small subunit ribosomal RNA", at positions 28 to 507 of the family's 1533-position model. The record is from RNAcentral.
GACGAACGCUGGCGGCGUGCUUAACACAUGCAAGUCGAACGGUAAGGCCUUUCGGGGUACACGAGUGGCGAACGGGUGAGUAACACGUGGGUGAUCUGCCCUGCACUUCGGGAUAAGCCCGGGAAACUGGGUCUAAUACCGGAUAGGACUGCGCGGUGCAUGCCGUGUGGUGGAAAGAUUUAUCGGUGCAGGAUGGGCCCGCGGCCAAUCAGCUUGUGGGUGGGGUAAUGGCCUACCAAGGCGACGACGGGUAGCCGGCCUGUGAGGGGGACCGGCAACACGGGAACGGAAAAACGCCCCGGACUCCAACGGGAGGCAGCGUUGGGGAAAAUUGAAAAAUGGGCGCAAGCCUGAGGCAGCGACGCCGCGUGGGGAAGGACGGCCUUCGGUUGUUAAACCUCUUUCAGCAGGGACGAAGCGUUAGUGACGGUACCUGCAGAAGAAGCACCGGCCAACUACGUG